RNAcentral lists this ribosomal RNA (253 nucleotides) under uncultured bacterium. Its description in RNAcentral is "partial 16S ribosomal RNA". It matches the Rfam family "Bacterial small subunit ribosomal RNA", at positions 524 to 776 of the family's 1533-position model. The record is from RNAcentral.
UACGGAGGGUGCGAGCGUUAAUCGGAAUUACUGGGCGUAAAGGGCACGCAGGCGGGUUUUUAAGUGAGAUGUGAAAUCCCCGGGCUUAACCUGGGAAUAGCAUUUCAAACUGGCAGGCUAGAGUACUGUAGGGGGGGGUAGAAUUCCAGGUGUAGCGGUGAAAUGCGUAGAGAUCUGGAGGAAUACCGAAGGCGAAGGCGGCCCCCUGGGAAAGGACUGACGCUCAUGUGCGAAAGCGUGGGGAGCAAACAGG